UACGGAGGGUGCAAGCGUUACUCGGAAUUAUUGGGCGUAAAGCGCGCGUAGGCGGCUUGGUAAGUUUGAUGUGAAAGCCCUGGGCUCAAUCCAGGAAGUGCAUUGAAUACUGCCAGGCUGGAGUACAGGAGAGGAAGGCGGAAUUCCAGGUGUAGAGGUGAAAUUCGUAGAUAUCGUAAGGAAGACCAGUGGCGAAGGCGGGUCUCUGGACAGUUCCUGACGCUGAGGCACGAAGGUCAGGGGAGCAAACGGG
Molecule: ribosomal RNA, 253 nt
Filed under: uncultured bacterium
Lineage: Bacteria
Description: partial 16S ribosomal RNA
Rfam family: Bacterial small subunit ribosomal RNA
Source: RNAcentral